RNAcentral lists this ribosomal RNA (458 nucleotides) under uncultured marine microorganism. RNAcentral's name for it is "bacterial SSU rRNA". It matches the Rfam family "Bacterial small subunit ribosomal RNA", at positions 356 to 829 of the family's 1533-position model. The record is from RNAcentral.
GGGGAAUUUUCCGCAAUGGGCGAAAGCCUGACGGAGCAAUACCGCGCGAGGGAGGAAUGCCUUUGGGUUGUAAACCUCUUUUCUCAGGGAAGAAGAUCUGACGGUACCUGAGGAAUAAGUAUCGGCUAACUCCGUGCCAGCAGCCGCGGUAAUACGGAGGAUGCAAGCGUUAUCCGGAAUUAUUGGGCGUAAAGCGUCCGCAGGUGGUUUCCAAAGUCUGCUGUUAAAGACUGGAGCUCAACUCCGGAACGGCGGUGGAAACUUGGAAACUAGAGUUCGGUAGGGGUAGCAGGAAUUCCCAGUGUAGCGGUGAAAUGCGUAGAUAUUGGGAAGAACAUCGGUGGCGAAGGCGUGCUACUGGACCGUAACUGACACUCAGGGACGAAAGCUAGGGGAGCGAAAGGGAUUAGAUACCCCUGUAGUCCUAGCUGUAAACGAUGGAAACUAGGUGUGGCUUG